AACGAACGCUGGCGGCAUGCCUAACACAUGCAAGUCGAACGAGACCUUCGGGUCUAGUGGCGCACGGGUGCGUAACGCGUGGGAACCUGCCCUUAGGUUCGGAAUAACUCCCCGAAAGGGGUGCUAAUACCGGAUAAUGUCUUCGGACCAAAGAUUUAUCGCCUUUGGAUGGGCCCGCGUUGGAUUAGCUAGUUGGUAGGGUAAAAGCCUACCAAGGCGACGAUCCAUAGCUGGUCUGAGAGGAUGAUCAGCCACACUGGGACUGAGACACGGCCCAGACUCCUACGGGAGGCAGCAGGGGGGAAUUUUGAACAAUGGGCGAAAGCCGAACCAAGCAAUGCCGGGGGAGUGAUGAAGGCCUUAGGGUUGUAAAGCUCUUUUACCCGGGAUGAUAAUGACAGUACCGGGGGAAUAAGCCCCGGCUAACUCCUG
Molecule: ribosomal RNA, 432 nt
Filed under: uncultured bacterium
Lineage: Bacteria
Description: partial 16S ribosomal RNA
Rfam family: Bacterial small subunit ribosomal RNA
Source: RNAcentral